Molecule: ribosomal RNA, 254 nt
Filed under: uncultured bacterium
Lineage: Bacteria
Description: partial 16S ribosomal RNA
Rfam family: Bacterial small subunit ribosomal RNA
Source: RNAcentral
CGGAGGAUCCAAGCGUUAUCCGGAAUCAUUGGGUUUAAAGGGUCCGUAGGCGGUUUGGUAAGUCAGUGGUGAAAGCCCAUCGCUCAGCGGUGGAACGGCCAUUGAUACUGCCAGACUUGAAUUAUUAGGAAGUAACUAGAAUAUGUAGUGUAGCGGUGAAAUGCUUAGAGAUUACAUGGAAUACCAAUUGCGAAGGCAGGUUACUACUAAUGGAUUGACGCUGAUGGACGAAAGCGUGGGUAGCGAACAGGAUU